RNAcentral lists this microRNA precursor (94 nucleotides) under Stenotrophomonas maltophilia. Its description in RNAcentral is "microRNA mir-598". Lineage: Bacteria; Pseudomonadati; Pseudomonadota; Gammaproteobacteria; Lysobacterales; Lysobacteraceae. The record is from RNAcentral.
GCACUGGAAGGCUGAGGAAAAAGGGGACGGAGGGGAUUAAGUCGUUUGUGCACAAACGACUUAAUCCCCUCCGUCCCCUUUUUCUUCAAUCCAG